UCUUAACUUGUAGAACACGAUCAUACUAAUUUAAAGCUCUAAAAGUCAUGGGAUCUCACUGGAGAAUUCUAAGAAAAUCGGCCAAACUUCGUCCACACGAUCCUGACGUCCAAAACCUUCAAACGAAGCACUCCGAGAUUCCUUGGGACCUCACUAAGCUUGCUAUGAGCUUGGAUUGUCCUAAAACAUAACCAUUUAAAAGUUCAUGAAUAGUGCUCAACUCGAAGCUUGAAGUUUCAACGUGAUAUCGAACGAGUUCUUACCUGAACUAGGUACCUUUGAAUUCGUAUGGUACUCACGAUCACAAUGGUACUAAUUUUGGCCACGAUCCGUGAAGUUUCAAAGGUCUUGGGUGCUUAUCCGUACUAUUUCGAAGGAGAGAGAGUGAAACUGAGAAAGAGAGAAGAGAGAGCACGGGAAAGUGAGACAGAGAGACGGGAUGUGUGGUCCAGAUUUUUGGGUCACCAAUCAAAACAACCCAUUUUCCUUACUUCCAAUUGGGUCCAAAAUAAUAGGAACUUAACACAUUGGUCCUCAACACAUAGUCCCAUAAUGCCACAAACGGUCAAUGGCAUUUUAGUCUUUUCACAUCAACGAUAACAAAAUAAUGUACAUUUAUGGGACAGGUUAUGACAAAGAAGGCAUGUACGUUGAGGAUUCUUGUUUUGAAACCUUCGCACCAUGUUCGCGACAAUUCACUAGCUUCAUUUGAUCUUCUUGACAAUCGCAUUCAUAAUGGAGCC
Molecule: long non-coding RNA, 743 nt
Filed under: Malus domestica (apple)
Lineage: Eukaryota; Viridiplantae; Streptophyta; Magnoliopsida; Rosales; Rosaceae
Description: long non-coding RNA (MDOM_LNC008395)
Source: RNAcentral